GACGAACGCUGGCGGCGUGCUUAACACAUGCAAGUCGAACGGAAAGGCCCUGCUUUUGUGGGGUGCUCGAGUGGCGAACGGGUGAGUAACACGUGAGUAACCUGCCCUUGACUUUGGGAUAACUUCAGGAAACUGGGGCUAAUACCGGAUAGGAGCUCCUUCUGCAUGUUGUGGGUUGGAAAGUUUCGGCGUUUGGGGAUGUACUCGCUGCUUAUCAGCUUGUUGGUGGGGUAGUGGCUUACCAAGGCUUUGACGGGUAGCCGGCCUGAGAGGGUUACCGGGCACAUUGGGACUGAGAUACGGCCCAGAGUCCUACGGGAGGCAGCAGUGGGGAAUAUUGCACAAUGGGCGGAAGCCUGAUGCAGCAACGCAGCGUGCGGGAUGACGGCCUUCGGGUUGUAAACCGCUUUCGCCUGUGACGAAGCGUGAGUGACGGUAAUGGGUAAAGAAGCACCGGCUAACUACGUG
Molecule: ribosomal RNA, 468 nt
Filed under: uncultured bacterium
Lineage: Bacteria
Description: partial 16S ribosomal RNA
Rfam family: Bacterial small subunit ribosomal RNA
Source: RNAcentral